AUGCUUUCACAACUUGACUUCAAAAUAUUUGGUUUGGAGACCAUCAAAGAUCAAUAUGUGCAUGAUGCUGAUUUUAAAGAUGUAUUGCAGAAUUGUAAAGAAGGAAGAACCUGGAACAAGUUUGUCGUUAAUGAUGGAUUUGUGUUCCGUGCUAACAAGCUAUGCAUUCCAGCUAGCUCUCUUCGUCUUUUGUUGUUGCAGGAGGCGCAUGGAGGAGGAUUAAUGGGACACUUUGGCGUGAAGAAGACGGAGGACGUACUUGCUACACAUUUCUUUUGGCCAAAGAUGAGAUGGGAUGUUGAGCGUUUUGUUGCUCGCUGCACUACAUGUCAAAAAGCUAAGUCACGACUCAAUCCUCAUGGUUUAUAUAUGCCUUUGCCUGUACCUAGUGUUCCUUGGGAGGAUAUAUCUAUGGACUUUGUUUUAGGUUUACCUCGAACAAAGAAGGGGAGGGAUAGCAUAUUUGUUGUCGUGGAUAGAUUCUCAAAAAUGGCACACUUUAUACCAUGUCAUAAAAGCAAUGAUGCUGUUAAUGUUGCUGAUUUGUUCUUUCGUGAAAUUAUUCGCUUGCAUGGUGUGCCAAAUACUAUUGUUUCCGAUCGUGAUACUAAAUUUCUUAGCCACUUUUGGAGAUGUUUAUGGGCUAAGUUGGGGACUAAACUGCUUUUUAGUACUACUUGUCACCCCCAAACUGAUGGACAAACUGAAGUAGUCAAUAGAACAUUGUCUACUAUGCUUAGGGCUGUUUUGAAGAAUAAUAAGAAAAUGUGGGAAGAAUGCUUGCCUCAUAUUGAGUUUGCUUAUAAUCGUUCAUUGCAUUCUACUACUAAGAUGUGCCCUUUUGAAAUUGUGUAUGGUUUCCUACCUCGUGCACCUAUUGAUUUGUUGCCUCUUCCAUCUUCGGAGAAGGUUAAUUUUGAUGCUAAACAACGUGCUGAAUUGAUCUUAAAAAUGCAUGAGUUAACUAAGGAAAACAUUGAGCGUAUGAAUGCUAAAUAUAAACUUGCUGGAAAUAAGGGUAGAAAACAUGUUGUGUUUGCACCUGGAGAUCUUGUUUGGUUACAUUUGCGUAAGGAUAGAUUUCCUGAUUUGCGCAAAUCAAAGCUAAUGCCACGUGCUGAUGGUCCUUUUAAGGUGUUAGAGAAAAUAAAUGAUAAUGCAUAUAAACUUGAGCUGCCUGCAGAUUUUGGGGUUAGUCCCACUUUUAACAUUGCAGAUUUGAAGCCUUAUUUGGGUGAGGGAGAUGAGCUUCCGUCGAGGACGACUUCAUUUCAAGAAGGGGAGGAUGAUGAGGACAUCAAUACCAUUGUUACAUCCACAGCCCCUGCUGCUAUACAUACUGGACCAAUUACUAGAGCUCGCGCACGCCAAUUAAAUUACCAGGUACUUUCGUUUCUUGGUAAUGAUUCUAAUGUUCAUGAGAAUAUGAUGCUGCCUAAAUUGGAUACAUUUGUUUUGCUUACAAAUGAAGGGCCUAGCUUGGAGAAGGAUGAACAUUGGAGCAAGAACAAGCAUGGAGAUGAUGGCAUGCGCAAGGGGAACAAUAACGGAGUUACAAGUGAUGAUUUCAGGACUUUGAAGCCACCAUAA
This 1590-nucleotide ribosomal RNA is filed under the name Triticum aestivum (bread wheat). RNAcentral describes it as "partial small subunit ribosomal RNA". The record is from RNAcentral. Lineage: Eukaryota; Viridiplantae; Streptophyta; Magnoliopsida; Poales; Poaceae.